Molecule: ribosomal RNA, 301 nt
Filed under: uncultured bacterium
Lineage: Bacteria
Description: partial 16S ribosomal RNA
Rfam family: Bacterial small subunit ribosomal RNA
Source: RNAcentral
CAGCAGCCACGGGAAUACGGAGGGGGCUAGCGUUGUUCGGAAUUACUGGGCGUAAAGCGUACGUAGGCGGCUUUGUAAGUUAGAGGUGAAAGCCUGGUGCUCAACACCAGAACUGCCUUUAAGACUGCAUCGCUUGAACGUCGGAGAGGUGAGUGGAAUUCCGAGUGUAGAGGUGAAAUUCGUAGAUAUUCGGAGGAACACCAGUGGCGAAGGCGGCUCACUGGACCAUUACUGACGCUGAGGUGCGAAAGCGUGGGGAGCAAACAGGAUUAGAUACCCGCGUAGUCCCUGUCUCUUAUAC